RNAcentral lists this transfer RNA (91 nucleotides) under Clostridiales bacterium. RNAcentral's name for it is "tRNA-Ser". It matches the Rfam family "tRNA". Rfam says of the family: Transfer RNA (tRNA) molecules are approximately 80 nucleotides in length. Lineage: Bacteria; Bacillati; Bacillota; Clostridia; Eubacteriales. The record is from RNAcentral. RNAcentral also lists the same sequence under 1 other name.
GGAGAAAUACCCAAGAGGCCGAAGGGGCUCCCCUGCUAAGGGAGUAGUACGUGAAAGCGUAGCGAGGGUUCAAAUCCCUCUUUCUCCGCCA